Molecule: ribosomal RNA, 230 nt
Filed under: uncultured bacterium
Lineage: Bacteria
Description: partial 16S ribosomal RNA
Rfam family: Bacterial small subunit ribosomal RNA
Source: RNAcentral
CGGACGGGUGAGUAAUGUCUGGGAAACUGCCCGAUGGAGGGGGAUAACUACUGGAAACGGUAGCUAAUACCGCAUAACGUCGCAAGACCAAAGAGGGGACCUUCGGGCCUCUUGCCAUCGGAUGUGCCCAGAUGGGAUUAGCUAGUAGGUGGGGUAACGGCUCACCUAGGCGACGAUCCCUAGCUGGUCUGAGAGGAUGACCAGCCACACUGGAACUGAGACACGGUCCA